AUAACAGGCUUAUCUCCCCCAAGAGUCCACAUCGACGGGGAGGUUUGGCACCUCGAUGUCGGCUCAUCACAUCCUGGGGCUGUAGUAGGUCCCAAGGGUUGGGCUGUUCGCCCAUUAAAGUGGUACGCGAGCUGGGUUCAGAACGUCGUGAGACAGUUCGGUCCCUAUCCGUCGCAGGCGUAGGAAAUUUGAGAAGACCUGUCCUUAGUACGAGAGGACCGGGAUGGACGUACCUCUGGUGUACCAGUUGUUCUGCCAAGGGCAUGGCUGGGUAGCUAUGUACGGAAUGGAUAAGCGCUGAAAGCAUCUAAGCGCGAAGCCAACUUCAAGAUAAGAUUUCCCACCGCAAGGGUAAGACCCCAGAAAGACUAUCUGGUUGAUAGGUCGAAGGUGUAAGUGCAGCAAUGUAUUUAGCUUAUCGAUACUAAUAGGUCGAGGACUUGACCAAAUU
This 451-nucleotide ribosomal RNA is filed under the name Clostridioides difficile. RNAcentral's name for it is "partial 23S ribosomal RNA". It matches the Rfam family "Bacterial large subunit ribosomal RNA", at positions 2474 to 2925 of the family's 2925-position model. The record is from RNAcentral. Lineage: Bacteria; Bacillati; Bacillota; Clostridia; Peptostreptococcales; Peptostreptococcaceae.